AGCAGUUGGGCUUUGAUGCGCGUGUGGUCCACUUUUAUCUUUCUGUAUUAGUUUAUGUCUUAACUAGUAUUCAGAGACAAACAUUGUUCCUAUUAGAUAUUCUGAUGUAUUUGACUCAUGGAUUGUAUUAGUGGUUUUUACACUAUUGACACCAGGUUUUUGGAGUUUGGUAUAAUAUUUUUGGUUGUAUGUUCUGUUUUCACAUUAAAUUUUUAUGAUUUUGCUUCAUUCUAGAAGCCUUGCCUUGGGGUUAUUUAUGUCUUUCCCC
Molecule: long non-coding RNA, 268 nt
Filed under: Capsicum annuum
Lineage: Eukaryota; Viridiplantae; Streptophyta; Magnoliopsida; Solanales; Solanaceae
Description: long non-coding RNA (CANN_LNC010246)
Source: RNAcentral